CAACCAUAACCCGUUGAAACAACGGUUCUCGUAGGAUCACUGAAGUUAAACAACGUCUACGCUGGUCCGUACCUCGCUGGGUGACCACUUGGGAAUACCAGUUGCUGUA
Molecule: non-coding RNA, 109 nt
Organism: Acanthosepion pharaonis
Lineage: Eukaryota; Metazoa; Mollusca; Cephalopoda; Sepiida; Sepiidae
Source: the annotation of a GenBank genome assembly